RNAcentral lists this ribosomal RNA (253 nucleotides) under uncultured bacterium. RNAcentral describes it as "partial 16S ribosomal RNA". It matches the Rfam family "Bacterial small subunit ribosomal RNA", at positions 524 to 776 of the family's 1533-position model. The record is from RNAcentral.
UACAGAGGGUGCAAGCGUUAAUCGGAGUUACUGGGCGUAAAGGGCGCGUAGGCUGAUAUUUAAGUCGAUUGUGAAAUCCCUGGGCUCAACCUAGGAAUUGCAUUUGAUACUAAAUGUCUAGAGUAUGGCAGAGGAAAGUGGAAUUCUCGGUGUAGUGGUAAAAUACGUAGAUAUCGAGAAGAACACCGGUGGCGAAGGCGACUUUCUGGACCAAUACUGACGCUGAGGCGCGAAAGCAUGGGGAGCAAACAGG